Penaeus monodon (black tiger shrimp) is the source of this 189-nucleotide long non-coding RNA. RefSeq lists it as uncharacterized. Lineage: Eukaryota; Metazoa; Arthropoda; Malacostraca; Decapoda; Penaeidae. The transcript is spliced from 3 exons. The record is from RefSeq and is a predicted model, not a curated record.
GGCGAAGGGAGUGAACGUCAGUCCAUCGCCGUCCGCCACAAUGGUUGCUCACGUCGCCUCUUGGGUGUGCCUUGCCCUCUCUUGCCUUGCCUUCGCAGGACUGGUAGAAGGCGCCAACCUUCGAGCGGGAUCGUGCGAAUACAACGGCAAAACAUACUGGGGAGGUCAGACCAUCGAGUCCUGCCGGGA